Argiope bruennichi is the source of this 3025-nucleotide long non-coding RNA. RefSeq lists it as uncharacterized. The record is from RefSeq and is a predicted model, not a curated record. Lineage: Eukaryota; Metazoa; Arthropoda; Arachnida; Araneae; Araneidae. The transcript has 3 exons.
AUUGCGCGCAAUAGAAGGUCACAGCUACUUCAGGAAAAUCACGUGACUGCAACGGGACACGUUGUCUCAACUGUUCACACGGGGACAAUAGAGGGACAACAGUAGAGAGACAACGUUUGCGCGCAAUAAAAAGCCUCGUGUGAACCCACCUUAACUCUAUGGUAAAGGAUACCGACAUGCUCUGAUUGGUCGAUUUCUUUCGCAUAGACUUUUCUAAGCUAUAUCUGCUGCAACCCUGUGUUGUUCAUUUCCGCCGUACUUUUUUGUCUGCUCUUUUUCAGAAUGGAGAAAUUAAAUCUUCCUGAGAAAUACAAGCAUAAAAUAAUUGAGAUUGAUGAGAUUAUAACUAUUUUUUGUAUUUCUGAUCUUAAUAAAUAAAGAAUUAGCUCAUGUAGCAGUUUUUCUGUGAAGUAUUAUUAAAAUAAGAUUUGAAAAUCAAGCUUUUAUUUUACGGAAAAUUUUCGGCUAAUUUUUUAAUUCAAUUUUCAUGUUAAAAUUAUUACCAUAAAAUAUAUGUAUGCAAAUAUACUAUAUUUAUUAAGAUAUUUAGAUGACAUUAAACGGUAUAGAAAUCAUUACAGUUCUUAUUGACUAUGCAUGUAAAAUAAAAUAACGCAAGAGAUUUAUUUUUUAAUUUCAUAUUAAAAUUAUUACCAUAAGAUGCCUAUCUGCAAAUGUGCUAUAUUUAUUAAGAUAUUUAGAUUAUUAUAGUUAUUAACAGCCUAACAAUCUAGUUAUUAAUCUUAAUAUUAGUUAUUAACUUAAUAUCAAAAUUUAUAAAUAUAUAAAUAGUUUAUACAUCUCUUUUGAAUACUUAUUUCUUGCAUUUUUGUAACACAUAUUUUAGGUAUGGAUUAAAGAACAUGGACAAAGAUCAGAAUCAGUUUGGCGUGUUCAGAGAAAACAGAAAUCAACUGGACGCCUUAAUGUUUAUAAAGGUGAAUUUAGAUGCCAACACAAUGUGCAACAAGUAUUUUUUCACUGCCAAAACACAAAGAACCACUCCCAGAAGUUAUAGAGUUUCCUGCUUUAUAUGAGCCUCUGUAUUCUCAUAAUCAUUUGCUUGAUAGUGUUGCUGUUAAAAAGUUCAGACCAUUAUCAAAUUUAAUGUGAAAGCAUUUGAUAUAGUUGUUUGAAUUAGGACAUAUAGAAGUUACUGCAAGACAGAUGUUGCAAAUGGAAUUAGAGCUUCAGAGUGAUGAAGAUUAUGAAGAAGCAUACAUGGACAGUUCUAAGCUACCCUAAUUAUCUUUCAUAAAUCACUUACUAAAUAAUGAAUUUAGGAAAAUCUAGGGGUCACAAAAAGAAAGCAAUAUCCUCUUACAAUCAACAGCCAUUUUGUAAAGCUGCCUUUUCAAAAGAAAAAGUAGCUUGAUGACUGCUGUAGUGACUCUAAUAAUGAAGCAAAGUAUAGAUUUACUUAGCAAUGUUCAAGAAUUGAUAAUGGUUUAUGCAUCUGGCCAUAUGGACAGAUUAAAUAAUCGUGUUUACUUUUUUUUAUUUCUUCAUGUGUAGCUGGUGGAAUACCUAUUGGGUGCUUCAUCACAAAUGCAGAAGAAACUAAUAUUUUUCGUGAAGGAGUGAAACAUCUUUGUGAGUGUUUCCUUGAGAAAUGUUAUUUAUUGCAAAAUGGGCCACUGAUUGUAAUUACAAGUGAUGAUCUUAAAGAAAGAAGUUCUGAGUGAAAUAUGGCCUAAUUCCACUUACUUACUCUGUAAGUUUCAUGUGCUGAAAGCAUUGUGGUGAUGGCUUAUGAACAGUGAACAUAAAAUUCUAAAAGAGCAUUGUCAAGAACUAUAUUUUUCUUUUAAAGCAUUGAUGUAUGCAGAAACUGAAAUGCAGCUGAAAGAGUUGCUUCAAAAUAUGUUGGAGAGUAGCAUGGUUAGGAAAUAAGACAAAUUCAUCAUAUAUUUGAGUAAGUUGUUCUCCAAAAAGCAAUUAUGGUGCACUUGUCAUAGAAAAAUGCUUUUAACCAGGGGAAACAAUACAACAAACUAUGUUGAAAUUUUGUUUAAAGUUUUAAAAGAGACAGACCAUACUUGGACAAGUGAAAGCAUUUAGCUUAAUUCAAUUAUUAAACUUCAUUGUCACAUCGUCAUUUGAGAAGUAUCUACAUUGUAGAUAUUUAGAUUUUAGUUUUGGGCAUUCUUCCAAAAAACUAGUAAAAAAGUUUUUGCCUGAUGAUAAAGGGACUCAGAACAUCAGAUCACUAAAUAAGUGCAAUACUUAUUUUGAAAUUGAUCACUAUUUUGUUGAUUUGGAAAGUUUCAUUUGUACUUGCUUUGUGGUACGAAUGGAAAGCUAAUGAUUUACUUUCGCAAUUUGAUAAUAAUACACUUCCGCAUUCUUCAAAUGAUACACUUUCACCUUUAGAUAUUGACAAAAUUUCACAGUCUUGCAAUGAUAAUAACAUGGUUCUACCAACUAUUAACACUAUUUCACUACCCAUUGCAACUUCAUAUCAAAACUCGGAUAGUGAAGCAGAUAAUGAUGAUGAUGAUUACUUACAAAAAUUUGAUGAUAUAAAUAAUUGGAUUAAAUCCGGAUACAAAAAUAAUCCUGAUGUUUUUAAGCCAGCAAUAAAAAAAUGGUGAAGAAUGUAAGCAAGUUUGGAGAAACAGAAACUGUAUUGAUGUCUGCCUUGCAUAACUUUGGAAGAAAUCUUAAUUACUCAAGCAGAGUUUUAAAGUGUAGUAGAAGGAGAGGCAAUCAAAUACCUGUCCAACCUACAGCAAAUUGCAAGAACAAAAUCAAUUUAUCGUGGAAGGAAAAGUCAAGUUGGUGGAAGACCAGUUAAGCGAGCAUUACCACCUGCCCUAAAAGAACAUGUAUAUGGAAUUUUCUCUUGAGUUACUUAAAAAACAUCCAAAAAUAAAACAUAGUUUGACACAUUGUGUUGAAAAGAAUGUAUCUCUUCCAAGUUAAUUUAUACAUAUUUUAUUACUUUCAUACUUCAAAAAUAUGUUUGUUAUUUGUAAUUUUUUUUAUGUGUGCUUUAAAAAUGUAUUAGAGCAUUUUAACAAGA